Long non-coding RNA from Manihot esculenta (cassava), 2038 nucleotides. RefSeq lists it as uncharacterized. The transcript has 2 exons. The record is from RefSeq and is a predicted model, not a curated record. NCBI's taxonomy places the organism in Eukaryota, Viridiplantae, Streptophyta, Magnoliopsida, Malpighiales, Euphorbiaceae.
AAAUAUCUACAACUAUAGUUGUUCUGUAUUUCCUUUGUUUGCUUUAGAUUAGGAUUACCAAAGGUGAGUCGGUCAUCUUGGAUGAGGUAAAUUGAUAUGGUAAUGUUUCUCAAGUUUCUGGGCAAGGCAAGUUAAUUAAAGCACCUUUAGUGCUUUGGUAACUGCCAGAUGAAGGGUGCCAGGUACUUGCAUCAAGUUGCCUUAGGUAUGAAGCUAUGUUCAGGCCUAGGCUUUUGUAAGUUGGCUAAGAAUGUUAUUUGACAUUCAACCUGUGUUAGAAGAUAGAGGUGAUAGUCUAAAGUCGUGAUCGCGAUAAUCUAUUCAAAGCUACAAACGUUUGUAUUGUAAGCUGCAGAUUACAUUAUGGACAUUGGAGCAUUGAGUGGAAAUUGUGUGCAUGACUUUUAAGAAUCUGCUAGGAUAUAGUAGAUGCCUUAUAUCUGAUGCAGUUGUACCAUGACAAGUUUCUAACUGCUAUGAAUCGACUUGAAAUAAAAGUUUAUAUCCUUUUAGAAUAAAAUACUAGAGAUAUUAGCAAUAAGGUAUAGAAAAAUUCUAUGAGAGCGACAAUGUACUCAAAAAACAUAAUUGUUUUUGUGUUGUUUAUCAUUAAAAAGAGGAAUUUUAUAAAUAUUAUGAUAUAAGAGAAAUGAAAAAAAGGAGAGGUAUGAGUAGGUGAAAUAGGCUAGAACAUGUUAGUGACCAAUCUUCUUGUUCACUUUUUACUGUGAUGAUUGUUUGAUGUCGAAACAUAGUCUUAACCUUCGAGAGAAAUAAAUUUGAAUUAUCAUAAUAACAGAUUCAAGAGUUUUAAAGAAAGUUUAAUUAUCUAAACAUUAUGUAAGAGGGGAUUGAAGAUACAAGGAAAAUACGCACAUAAAAUAGGUGAUAGUUAUGAGAUGGUAGGUGUGAUUAAGGGGUUAAUUGAUCUCAUUAAUAACAUAUUAGUUACUCUAGCUAGGAAAAAAAUACGGAAGAUUGUAGAGUCUAUCAAACUUUUAAGAACAUGACAUAAAUAGUGUAUGAAUUCCUAAUGUACUUUUUGAUAAAUAUUUCGAUUCAUCACUUGGAAGUGGAUAGAAUUGCCUUUAAGAUUAUAUUGAAGGUCUAUGUUGGAAAACCGAAUUAAUCACUGCAAUAGUUUAUUCUUUUUUCCUUUUCAGAAGUAAGAUUAUAUUUGAUAAGAUUAGAUAAAUUAUUUUGGCGGAAGUGAUAUUAUUUGAGAUAAUAUUGUUGUUUAUUGGAAGUUUAGUUUUUAUCUAUAUUGGUGAUAUAGUUAGAUUUUAAACACUUUAAUCGGUACAAGUAAUUAUUAUUGAUAGGUUAUAUUGAUAUCUGUUUAUAUAUAAAUAUGUGUAUAUAUAUAUAUAUAUGUUUUGAAUAUUUGUAUUUAGUUUCUUAAUUGGAUUGUGCAAAGUUAGCUAUGAAAAUAUAAUUAUUUAUGUUUCCUUAGUUAUUUCCUGGAUUCUAGAUAUAACCCUUAUUCCUCCAAUAGAUUAUUCAAUAAAUGAAUAAGAUUAUUUUUGUAUAGCAUAGUGUGAUAUUGUGGUUGAUUAUUAGCAAGAAUAAAUUAUGUUAGUAUAAACUUUAUGUUAUUAUCCAUUGUUAAGAGCUACGUGGACCUGAUCCUCUAUUGGAGGUACGUAGGCAGCCUUCGGGUGCGGUCGAAAUAUAAUAUAUGUUAAGACUUUAAUUAGCAAAUAGUAUCGAUGUAAAUUCAAGCCAUAUUAACAGAUUUUCAUGUUGAAUAAAUUACUUAUUGGAAAUUUAAUAAGUUUAAUAUGACUAAAAUAAUUAACAUACAAAUAAUUAUAUUUAUAAGAUUAUAGAAAAAAAAAGCCACAAAAGAAAUCACUGAAUUAGCUAAGAUAUAGGAGAACAAUUUUGAUAAAGAGACCAUGAGUGAAUUAGACCCUUAAUAUUGCCAAAACUUGACUAUAACUUAGGAUAGAAGCAUACAGAAGUACCUAAAAUGAAUAACUUGGAAAGCUUGUCAAAGGAACGAAAAUUGGCAUGCGAAUAGGUGCAAUUUGUGAUA